RNAcentral lists this long non-coding RNA (303 nucleotides) under Daucus carota (carrot). RNAcentral describes it as "long non-coding RNA (DCAR_LNC000142)". Lineage: Eukaryota; Viridiplantae; Streptophyta; Magnoliopsida; Apiales; Apiaceae. The record is from RNAcentral.
GCUUUCAUCCCUGGUGCUUCUUUCUACAAAGUCUUAAUUCAUAUUGGCAACUCGGUUGGCAUACCUCCAACUAUUAGAGAUUACAAGAAUCUUGAAGGUAAAAGAUAUGACAGAUUUCACAUAUUGGAGCAAGUGUUACGUGAUUGAAAUAAAUGAAUAACUGAGAGAUCAAUAUGGUCUAUAGAACUCGGUGUUGCGUGUCUAAUUUAAGACACUACUAAAGGUAGUUAACCUUCUUGUAAUGUACAACACACACAAGUGAUGGCGUCCCAUCCAACUCCUAUCACACAGACAGGUAGUCCU